CGGGUGAGUAACGCGUGGAGAACCUGCCGUAUACUGGGGGAUAACACUUAGAAAUAGGUGCUAAUACCGCAUAAGCGCACAGCUUCGCAUGAAGCAGUGUGAAAAACUCCGGUGGUAUACGAUGGAUCCGCGUCUGAUUAGCUGGUUGGCGGGGUAACAGCCCACCAAGGCGACGAUCAGUAGCCGGCCUGAGAGGGUGAACGGCCACAUUGGGACUGAGACACGGCCCAAACUCCUACGGGAGGCAGCAG
This 251-nucleotide ribosomal RNA is filed under the name uncultured bacterium. Its description in RNAcentral is "partial 16S ribosomal RNA". It matches the Rfam family "Bacterial small subunit ribosomal RNA", at positions 103 to 354 of the family's 1533-position model. The record is from RNAcentral.